Molecule: non-coding RNA, 21 nt
Filed under: Caenorhabditis elegans
Lineage: Eukaryota; Metazoa; Nematoda; Chromadorea; Rhabditida; Rhabditidae
Source: RNAcentral
UUUAAAUGAAUUAUUGUAAUU